CGCGGGGUGGAGCAAUAGGCAGCUCGUCGGGCUCAUAACCCGGAGGUUGGAGGUUCGAGUCCUCUCCCCGCAACCA
Molecule: transfer RNA, 76 nt
Filed under: Eubacteriaceae bacterium
Lineage: Bacteria; Bacillati; Bacillota; Clostridia; Eubacteriales; Eubacteriaceae
Description: tRNA-Met
Rfam family: tRNA
About the family: Transfer RNA (tRNA) molecules are approximately 80 nucleotides in length. Their secondary structure includes four short double-helical elements and three loops (D, anti-codon, and T loops).
Source: RNAcentral